CACAGGCUGCCCAGAGAAGCUGUGGCUGCCCCAUCCCUGGAAGUGUCCAAGGCCAGGUUGGACGAAACUUGGAGUAACCUGGGCUUGUAGAAGAUGUCUCUGCCCACAGCAGGACUUUGGAACGGGAUGAUCUUUAAGAUCCUUUCCUACCCGAACCAUUCUGUGUUUCUCCGAUUCCAUGACGACAUCCCACCUGUGUUCCACCGUGCUGGUGGAUGCAGCAGUGCUGGCUACCGGAGGAGCUUGGAAUGCCCUUGCCAAAGCAUCAGAGUCAAUUAAUCACUGCGGUCCCGGGAGCCCAGGAUUAUUGUGUAUCUUGGAUAAAUUAAGUACCAGUCAAUUGAGUGUUAGAGAUACUCUGAACCCUUACAUUUAAGUUUGGAUGUCAGCUGUUAUUUCUGAGAAUAGUGCAUGAUGGAUGAGGUGCCACUGUUUGGAAAAAAGCAAAUACAAUAUCUCUUUGAAAAAGGAAAAAAAUCAUAGCUUUCUAAAUAAACUUUAUUGUCAAAGAAAUGGUAGAACUAAUAAAGUGCUUACAAGGAUCCAAGUUAUAAACGUUUGUGUGUCAAAUGAUGUAAUAUUUCUUUUUGUCCCAGCCCUGCAAUACUGUGAGCACUUGGGAGCAACACAUUGCAAGAACAAAUCCCACAGAAGUGGAUAAAUGUGAGGGAUUGAUUUACUAGGGAAGACAUAUUAGCCUGCAGGAGACAGGAAAACCUGGAGAGAGGAACAGACUAUUCUGUUCUGUGAGGGGUAGGUAGGGGAAGUAGUAUGGUUACAUUGCAGCAAGGCAGGCUUAAACUGAAAGAAGAGGAAAGCUUUGCAGUUGUAAGGAUGAGCCGUAGACUGGAUUGGUGAAGAGUCAGUGGAAUCUCAGUCAAUCUUGUCAAGGCCCUCAGUUCAGUUACCCCAAAGUCCUGAGUGCCAUGUUAAAAAUCUGGGUUCUUUUCAGCCUUGGUGUCUGAAGAAUGUGUAUCUAAGGGACAGAGUGUGUCUGACUUCUCCUAGAUUUGGAGACUCAUCCAGCAAGAGGCUCAAUAGCUGCCUUGCCUGUACAGUUUGCCAGCAGUCUCAUUAGAUUUCUUGGAAUUAAUACAAAUUUAUUAAACCCAGCAAAAAUGACAUAUGUGUGAGAGGAUUUUUGAAAAAGAUUAUGCAUUUUUACAGGUGAAAGCAGCCUUACUUUAUUUUCAUUCUUUAUAAUCUAAAUGUUUUUGUUAGUGCCUGUUUGCUGGGCUUCAUGUGUGUCACUGAAGGCAUAUUAAUGAAUGGUGUUACUGCAAACAUCUAUCAGUCAGAGGAAUCAUAAUCUCAGAAGGAGAUUAUGCCAUGGGAAAUAAUUCCAGAAAGACCAAACAUACGGAGUUAAAGUUUAGUCUGUGGUACAGCAAAAACCUUGGUGAUAGUUCUGCCAUGUUUUGCGUAUUUAGCAUUAUUCAUCCAUCUUGCCUUGGCCUAGUCAGGUGUUUAUUGCUGCUGGAAUAUUAUAUUUGUUUUUCAUUGCUUCUCAGUUGUUUUUCAAUUUUUCUGUGGAAGAGAUGUUAAAAAUGCUGCUAUUCUUUCCUUUAGACUGAUCUGGCAUUCAAACAGAAACAGAAGGAGGAGCAAAAGAAACUUGAGGAGAUGAAAGCAAAAGCUGCUGGAAAAGGGCCCCUGGCCAGUGGUGGAAUAAAGAAGUCUGGCAAAAAGUAGCUUGAUCAAACUGCAGGGUAAGAAGUGAUCAAGUUCCCCAAUGGACCUGCAAACUUCAGAGUCUUGAAAACACUCUGUCAUUUGGGAAACAUUGUACAUUUUGUUUAGUCAGAAUAAAUCUUUUUUGUUAAGAUGUGA
Molecule: non-coding RNA, 1830 nt
Organism: Cyanistes caeruleus (blue tit)
Lineage: Eukaryota; Metazoa; Chordata; Aves; Passeriformes; Paridae
Source: RefSeq, a predicted model, not a curated record